AAGACCUUGCACUUUUGGAGCGGCCGAUGUCUGAUUAGCUAGUUGGUGGGGUAAUGGCCUACCAAAGCUUCGAUCAGUAGCUGGUCUGAGAGGACGGCCAGCCACACUGGGACUGAGACACGGCCCAGACUCCUACGGGAGGCAGCAGUGGGGAAUUUUGGACAAUGGGCGCAAGCCUGAUCCAGCCAUGCCGCGUGAGUGGAGAAGGCCUUCGGGUUGUAAAGCUCUUUCAGCCGGGAAGAAAAGGUUGCGACUAAUAAUCGCAAUCCAUGACGGUACCGAAAGAAGAAGCACCGGCUAACUACGUGCCAGCAGCCGCGGUAAUACGUAGGGUGCGAGCGUUAAUCGGAAUUACUGGGCGUAAAGGGUGCGCAGGCGGUUUUGUAAGUCAGAUGUGAAAUCCCCGGGCUUAACCUGGGAACU
Molecule: ribosomal RNA, 423 nt
Filed under: uncultured bacterium
Lineage: Bacteria
Description: bacterial SSU rRNA
Rfam family: Bacterial small subunit ribosomal RNA
Source: RNAcentral